This 400-nucleotide ribosomal RNA is filed under the name uncultured bacterium. RNAcentral's name for it is "bacterial SSU rRNA". It matches the Rfam family "Bacterial small subunit ribosomal RNA", at positions 359 to 776 of the family's 1533-position model. The record is from RNAcentral.
GAAUAUUGGACAAUGGGGGCAACCCUGAUCCAGCCAUGCCGCGUGAGUGAAGAAGGCCUUCGGGUUGUAAAGCUCUUUCGACGGGGACGAUGAUGACGGUACCCGUAUAAGAAGCCCCGGCUAACUUCGUGCCAGCAGCCGCGGUAAUACGAAGGGGGCUAGCGUUGUGCGGAAUUACUGGGCGUAAAGCGCGCGUAGGCGGCGGUCCAUGUCAGGGGUGAAAUCCCGGAGCUCAACUCCGGAACUGCCUUUGAAACGGGGCUGCUAGAGUCCGAGAGAGGAUGGCGGAAUUCCUAGUGUAGAGGUGAAAUUCGUAGAUAUUAGGAAGAACACCGGUGGCGAAGGCGGCCAUCUGGCUCGGUACUGACGCUCAGGCGCGAAAGCAUGGGGAGCGAACGGG